Ciona intestinalis (vase tunicate) is the source of this 169-nucleotide non-coding RNA. NCBI's taxonomy places the organism in Eukaryota, Metazoa, Chordata, Ascidiacea, Phlebobranchia, Cionidae. The record is from RefSeq and is a predicted model, not a curated record.
AACAUUAAAAAAAAAGGAAUACAACCAUAUAAGUGGACAGAAUACAAUCUGGCUUUGUCCUGUAUGCAAAGAAAAAUAAGGAACAAAUUUGUGAUAUUUUGCUGACUUUUUGCUGGCUUCUGCUGAAGUGAUAAGAAGAAAAUUUUUAAUAAAAUUUUUUUAACUAAAA